This is a non-coding RNA of Trichonephila inaurata madagascariensis, 71 nucleotides long. The record is from the annotation of a GenBank genome assembly. Lineage: Eukaryota; Metazoa; Arthropoda; Arachnida; Araneae; Nephilidae.
UCCCUGUAGAGCAAUGGAUACCGCGUUGGACCUCUAAACCAAAGUCGUGGGUUCUAAUCCUACCUGGAAAG